Molecule: ribosomal RNA, 253 nt
Filed under: uncultured bacterium
Lineage: Bacteria
Description: partial 16S ribosomal RNA
Rfam family: Bacterial small subunit ribosomal RNA
Source: RNAcentral
UACGUAGGGACCAAGCGUUGUUCGGAUUUACUGGGCGUAAAGGGCGCGUAGGCGGCGUGACAAGUCACUUGUGAAAUCUCCGGGCUUAACUCGGAACGGCCAAGUGAAACUGUCAUGCUAGAGCGCAGAAGGGGCAAUCGGAAUUCUUGGUGUAGCGGUGAAAUGCGUAGAUAUCAAGAGGAACACCUGAGGUGAAGACGGGUUGCUGGGCUGACACUGACGCUGAGGCGCGAAAGCCAGGGGAGCAAACGGG